CGCGUUGGAGCUCGACCGGUGCGGCGCCUGCGCACUGGAACCAGGCGUGCGGCGCCCCAGGCGCCGGGCCUGCGGCGGCCGGAACCGGAACGCGCGCCCGCGGGGUAGGAGACCUGGAGCUGGAGAACCCGCCCGCCAGAGUCGUAGUAGUGGAUGGGGAGUAGCCGUCCCAUUUUCAACACAUGUCUCAUUCUAAAUUGACGUUUUGGUGGGCUGGCCGAAGAAGGAGAAAGACCCGCGGCUCCGACCUCUGACCUCUAACCCCGGACGCACUUUGAUUUCGCCGGCUUGCGCGGAAGGCUGACUCCCUGGGCCGCGGCCUGGCGCGGGAGCCGCCUGUGGGGUGUCCCCGGCGCGGGAGGGUGCUCUGGUUCAGGCAGGUUCCCGUUGCGGCGGGGUUCCCUCGGUUGGGAGGAAUGCCCCUGCCGAGGGUAUGCUCCGGCUGGAGGGGGUGUCCCUAACGGCGGGAAUACCUGGACUGGCUGGGGUGUCCCACUGGGGAGGGUUUCCCGGUGGGGAGGUGUCUGGCGGGGGAGCGGCUCCGGCUAAGCAUGGGUGUUCUGCUAGGAGGAUGUGUCUGGCUGGGGGCGGUGUCCCAAUCGGGAGGGUUGCCCUGAUGGGGGAGGUUCUACAGUUGUGGAGAUGCCAACCUGGGGGGCGCUCCGGUUGGGGGGUGUGCCCUCUCUGGUUACCCCGCUCUCGCUGCCACUCAUAGGCCCGCUGCCCAGGUAUGCACAAGUCAAGGCCUUUUCUGCAGACCAAGUAGCCUUCCCUGGAGAGCGCCCCCAGCACCACGGAAACUACCUACAUGCCCCGCGGUGGUCAGCCCGCCUUAUCCCAGCCCCGAGACCCAAAACAAGAAGCAUGGACUGAAUUUGAGGUUUCUGGAUGGUCGUGUGAACCGAGGGGACGGGUACUGGACUGACAAGAAAUGAGCCUUGAAGGUCAAUCUGGGUGACACCCGAGUCUCCUGAUGGAGUUUCACUAUGUUGCCCAGGCUGAUCUGGAACUCCUGACCUCAAGCAAUCCACCUGCCUCAGCCUCCCAAAGUACUGGGAUUACAGGAGGGAGCCACCGUGCCCGGCCUGGUCCUGUGCAUUUUAUAGAUAAGGUAACUGACAAACCUAGCCACAGUCACCCCUUCGCCCUAAAGGAGAACUGGAAUUUGAACCCAGAGCCUUCUUCACCACCAUCUCCGUUGUUUCUGGAAGCACCCUCCAGGCAGGCCAGCCAGCAUCACGGGGCCUCCCCUGGGGCUGGAACGUCUGCAGGAUGCCCCUUUGAGAAAUGCUGUUCCACAGAACCCUGCCUUUCAGGCCUUGGAGACGUGGGCAGGGGAGAAGCAGCGUCCCUCAGAGCCAGGCCUGGCAGUGGUGCUAGCAGGGGCCAAGGCCCAGGGAGCAGGGUCUCCUGUCGGAGGGACC
This 1424-nucleotide long non-coding RNA is filed under the name Homo sapiens (human). RNAcentral's name for it is "non-protein coding ARRDC1-AS1:1". Lineage: Eukaryota; Metazoa; Chordata; Mammalia; Primates; Hominidae. The record is from RNAcentral.